UCGGGCUGUCCGCUGCAAUGUGCUCUCC
This 28-nucleotide small RNA is filed under the name Bombyx mori (domestic silkworm). Its description in RNAcentral is "ovarian small RNA-28997". The record is from RNAcentral. Lineage: Eukaryota; Metazoa; Arthropoda; Insecta; Lepidoptera; Bombycidae.